RNAcentral lists this ribosomal RNA (497 nucleotides) under uncultured bacterium. RNAcentral describes it as "partial 16S ribosomal RNA". It matches the Rfam family "Bacterial small subunit ribosomal RNA", at positions 28 to 507 of the family's 1533-position model. The record is from RNAcentral.
GAUGAACGCUGGCGGCGUGCCUAAUACAUGCAAGUCGAGCGAACAGACGAGGAGCUUGCUCCUCUGACGUUAGCGGCGGACGGGUGAGUAACACGUGGAUAACCUACCUAUAAGACUGGGAUAACUUCGGGAAACCGGAGCUAAUACCUGCUAAUAUAUUGAACCGCAUGGUUCAAUAGUGAAAGACGGUUUUGCUGUCACUUAUAGAUGGAUCCGCGCCGCAUUAGCUAGUUGGUAAGGUAACGGCUUACCAAGGCAACGAUGCGUAGCCGACCUGAGAGGGUGAUCGGCCACACUGGAACUGAGACACGGUCCAGACUCCUACGGGAGGCAGCAGUAGGGAAUCUUCCGCAAUGGGCGAAAGCCUGACGGAGCAACGCCGCGUGAGUGAUGAAGGUCUUCGGAUCGUAAAACUCUGUUAUUAGGGAAGAACAAAUGUGUAAGUAACUAUGCACGUCUUGACGGUACCUAAUCAGAAAGCCACGGCUAACUACGUG